Molecule: ribosomal RNA, 491 nt
Filed under: uncultured bacterium
Lineage: Bacteria
Description: partial 16S ribosomal RNA
Rfam family: Bacterial small subunit ribosomal RNA
Source: RNAcentral
GUGAACGCUGGCGGUAGGCCUAACACCUGCAAGUCGCACGGCAGCACAGUAAGAGCUUGCUCUUACGGGUGGCGAGUGGCGGACGGGUGAGGAAUACAUCGGAAUCUACUUUUUCGUGGGGGAUAACGUAGGGAAACUUACGCUAAUACCGCAUACGACCUACGGGUGAAAGCAGGGGAUCUUCUGACCUUGCGCGAUUGAAUGAGCCGAUGUCGGAUUAGCUAGUUGGCGGGGUAAAGGCCCACCAAGGCGACGAUCCGUAGCUGGUCUGAGAGGAUGAUCAGCCACACUGGAACUGAGACACGGUCCAGACUCCUACGGGAGGCAGCAGUGGGGAAUAUUGGACAAUGGGCGCAAGCCUGAUCCAGCCAUACCGCGUGGGUGAAGAAGGCCUUCGGGUUGUAAAGCCCUUUUGUUGGGAAAGAAAAGCAGCAGGUUAAUACCCCGCUGUUCUGACGGUACCCAAAGAAUAAGCACCGGCUAACUUCGUG